CCACAUCAACAGCGCCGCGAUUUCCCAAUCAGUUUUCUCUGGAUAUAUGCCCAGCAGGACUGCAAGAUCAUAUGCAGAGCCAGAAUAUUCAAAUGAACUUUGCUAAAGGAUAACCUAAAAGAAUUUUCCACUAUGAGAGCCUGACAUAGUUCAUUCACCUUUAAUAAAUGAAGCAGGGCUUCCCUGGUGGCGCAGUGGUUAAGAAUCCGCCUGCCAAGGCAGGGGACACAGGUUCGAGCCCUGGUCCAGGAAGAUCCCACAUGCCGCGGAGCAACUAAGCCCGUGCGCCACAACUACUGAGCCUGCGCUCUAGAGCCCGCGAGCCACAACUACUGAAGCCCGCACGCCUAGAGCCCAUGCUCCGCAACAAGAGAAGCGCCACAAUGAGAAGCCCGCACACCGCAACGAAGAGUAACCCCUGCUCGACGCAACUAAAGAAAGCCUGCACGCAGCAACGAAGACCCAACGC
This is a long non-coding RNA of Eubalaena glacialis (North Atlantic right whale), 469 nucleotides long. RefSeq lists it as uncharacterized. NCBI's taxonomy places the organism in Eukaryota, Metazoa, Chordata, Mammalia, Artiodactyla, Balaenidae. The transcript has 3 exons. The record is from RefSeq and is a predicted model, not a curated record.